RNAcentral lists this ribosomal RNA (429 nucleotides) under Chloroflexota bacterium. Its description in RNAcentral is "Chloroflexi bacterium partial 16S ribosomal RNA". It matches the Rfam family "Bacterial small subunit ribosomal RNA", at positions 355 to 776 of the family's 1533-position model. Lineage: Bacteria; Bacillati; Chloroflexota. The record is from RNAcentral.
UGGGGAAUAUUGCACAAUGGGCGCAAGCCUGAUGCAGCCAUGCCGCGUGUGUGAAGAAGGCCUUCGGGUUGUAAAGCACUUUCAGCGGGGAGGAAGGCGAUAAGGUUAAUAACCUUGUCGAUUGACGUUACCCGCAGAAGAAGCACCGGCUAACUCCGUGCCAGCAGCCGCGGUAAUACGGAGGGUGCAAGCGUUAAUCGGAAUUACUGGGCGUAAAGCGCACGCAGGCGGUCUGUCAAGUCGGAUGUGAAAUCCCCGGGCUCAACCUGGGAGCUGCAUUGGAAACUGGCAGGCUAGAGUCUUGUAGAGGGGGGUAGAAUUCCAGGUGUAGCGGUGAAAUGCGUAGAGAUCUGGAGGAAUACCGGUGGCGAAGGCGGCCCCCUGGACAAAGACUGACGCUCAGGUGCGAAAGCGUGGGGAGCAAACAGG